This 528-nucleotide ribosomal RNA is filed under the name uncultured bacterium. RNAcentral's name for it is "bacterial SSU rRNA". It matches the Rfam family "Bacterial small subunit ribosomal RNA", at positions 12 to 524 of the family's 1533-position model. The record is from RNAcentral.
UUUGAUCCUGGCUCAGGACGAACGCUGGCGGCGUGCCUAAUACAUGCAAGUAGAACGCUGAAGGAGGAGCUUGCUUCUCUGGAUGAGUUGCGAACGGGUGAGUAACGCGUAGGUAACCUGCCUGGUAGCGGGGGAUAACUAUUGGAAACGAUAGCUAAUACCGCAUAAGAGUAGAUGUUGCAUGACAUUUGCUUAAAAGGUGCAAUUGCAUCACUACCAGAUGGACCUGCGUUGUAUUAGCUAGUUGGUGGGGUAACGGCUCACCAAGGCGACGAUACAUAGCCGACCUGAGAGGGUGAUCGGCCACACUGGGACUGAGACACGGCCCAGACUCCUACGGGAGGCAGCAGUAGGGAAUCUUCGGCAAUGGACGGAAGUCUGACCGAGCAACGCCGCGUGAGUGAAGAAGGUUUUCGGAUCGUAAAGCUCUGUUGUAAGAGAAGAACGAGUGUGAGAGUGGAAAGUUCACACUGUGACGGUAUCUUACCAGAAAGGGACGGCUAACUACGUGCCAGCAGCCGCGGUAAU